GUCCUCUCUUCAGCAGUACAUAUACUAAAAUUGCAACCUACAGAGAUUAGCAGGGCCCCUGUGUUAGGAUGACACGCUCAUUUGUGAGGCUUUGAAGAAUAUU
Molecule: small nuclear RNA, 103 nt
Organism: Nycticebus coucang (slow loris)
Lineage: Eukaryota; Metazoa; Chordata; Mammalia; Primates; Lorisidae
Source: RefSeq, a predicted model, not a curated record